ACAAAUUAUAGCAUAUAAAAAUGCCUUUUAUUUACACUAAAAUGAAAAUAUAAAAUAUUUAAUUUGU
This 67-nucleotide transfer RNA is filed under the name Gastrostomobdella ampunganensis. RNAcentral's name for it is "tRNA-Val". Lineage: Eukaryota; Metazoa; Annelida; Clitellata; Hirudinida; Gastrostomobdellidae. The record is from RNAcentral.